UAAAAGUUGAAGAAAAUUUAGGUUGAAAAAUUAGUUUUAAAUUAUAGUCCAAAGAUGACAUUUAAGACUACAUAGAAUAACACAUAGUAAGUGCAAUAGUAAAGGAAUAAAGUCCUUUGGACACUAUCCCUUACACUCCGGAGAACCAUCACAGCACAAUUUUUUUUCAUAUGUAUACCAUCAUUACAUUUGGUUUCUUCAAAAAGGUACUUUCUGGAUCCAAAUUUUUCUGCCUGAGAAGUAAGGAAUGGAGCUGAACCUUGUCAAGGGAACAGUCCUCCUCUUUCUCACUGGACUGGGCACUGUGGGGAGCGUCACCGCUCUUGUGAAUUAUGCACCCAUCCUGGCAGGCACAGAGAAGAAAUCCACUCACUUUAUUCUCCUCCAUUUGGAUUUCACAAAUGUCAUAACACUUCUUUCCAAAGGAAUUCCAAGGACAAUAGCAGCUUUUCAUCUGAGAAACUUUCUAGAUUGCCCCUUACCUGCAGAGGGUGGCCCGGGCCUCUCCAUCUGCACCACGGUGGUCCAGGCCAUCAGCAUGAGUCCCAGACACUCCAGGGGGAGGAGGCCCACGCUCAGAGCUGCAUGGCAUGUCCUUCACGUGUUUCUCUUCUGGAUUCUCAGCUCCUGGAUAGCAAAGCUGCUGACCGCCCUGAGCUGACAACGAGGUAACAAAAAGAGGACUCAGCUGCCGCCCCUUCCCAGUCUGCAGCCCUGCGAGAAAAGUCACAGAGUGUGUGUAGGACAGCGCUUUCCCCGCACACACUGCUGCUGGAGAGAAGCGCGGCGAUGGGCCUGACGGAUGCAGGGAGCCUGGAGACUGGAAACGCAGGUUCAGAGAAGUCUGCGUAAUCAAUGGAUGCUAAUACUUGUCAUUUUAAAAUCAACAAAUUGUACCAUUUUAAAGAGAGAGACUCAAUUUAGCAAAUUGCAUUAAAAUAACUUAAAUAUUCGCUGCUGAUCCUAGAAUUUCACUUCUAAGCCAGAUCUUUCAAAUAUAUUCUUAUGUAACACACACAUAUAAAAACACUGAUAUGAAUAAAAAAUAUUGAUUGCACUGUUGGUUUCUAAACAACCCUAAAUAUGUACUUUAAGAAGUUGUUUGCUUGUUAUAUGAAGGAAAUAUUCAUCGCUUCAAGGGUUUUUAGUGAACCUGGGGAAGAAGGGGCGACUCCAGCCUGUGAUACCAGGCAGUGCCGUCAUUCAUGCUGAAUGUCCAUCCCUACACAGAGCAGUCAUAUUUUAAAAAUAUAGAUUUGACUUUAUGUUUAUGUUAUGAACACAAAUAUGAUAUGAAUACAAA
This 1303-nucleotide long non-coding RNA is filed under the name Chinchilla lanigera (long-tailed chinchilla). Its description in RNAcentral is "lncRNA (ENSCLAG00000022253.1)". Lineage: Eukaryota; Metazoa; Chordata; Mammalia; Rodentia; Chinchillidae. The record is from RNAcentral.